This 266-nucleotide ribosomal RNA is filed under the name Klebsiella pneumoniae. Its description in RNAcentral is "partial 23S ribosomal RNA". It matches the Rfam family "Bacterial large subunit ribosomal RNA", at positions 1132 to 1397 of the family's 2925-position model. Lineage: Bacteria; Pseudomonadati; Pseudomonadota; Gammaproteobacteria; Enterobacterales; Enterobacteriaceae. RNAcentral also lists the same sequence under 3 other names. The record is from RNAcentral.
GCGUAAUAGCUCACUGGUCGAGUCGGCCUGCGCGGAAGAUGUAACGGGGCUAAACCAUGCACCGAAGCUGCGGCAGCGACACUAUGUGUUGUUGGGUAGGGGAGCGUUCUGUAAGCCUGCGAAGGUGACCUGUGAGGGUUGCUGGAGGUAUCAGAAGUGCGAAUGCUGACAUAAGUAACGAUAAAGCGGGUGAAAAGCCCGCUCGCCGGAAGACCAAGGGUUCCUGUCCAACGUUAAUCGGGGCAGGGUGAGUCGACCCCUAAGGC